RNAcentral lists this ribosomal RNA (1654 nucleotides) under Paramoebidium sp. NOR-61-W11. RNAcentral's name for it is "eukaryotic LSU rRNA". It matches the Rfam family "Eukaryotic large subunit ribosomal RNA", at positions 113 to 1437 of the family's 3401-position model. Lineage: Eukaryota; Ichthyosporea; Ichthyophonida; Amoebidiaceae. The record is from RNAcentral.
UUUUCAAGCUCCAUGGAGGAAAACCGCCAUGGCGCGUUGUAGACUAAAGGGGCGUUAUCUUGGACGGGCCGAGUAUAUAUCCGUUGGAACACGGUAUCAUAGAGGGUGAGAAUCCCGUCUUUGACUCGGAGAGCCGGCCAUGUACGUUACGCUUCCAAAGAGUCGGGUUGUUUGGGAAUGCAGCCCAAAAUGGGUGGUAAAUUUCAUCUAAGGCUAAAUAUUGGCACGAGACCGAUAGCGAACAAGUACCAUGAGGGAAAGAUGAAAAGAACUUUGAAAAGAGAGUCAAAAAGUACGUGAAACCGUUAAAAGGGAAACGAAUGGAGCUAGCAUUUGUGACGUUUCCACAAUCAGUCAGACAUAAGUCGGCGAAGUGCACAGUUAGGGACCUUUGUUGGGUUAAACUUGCAGAGGCAUAGCUGAGUAUUUGUGAACGGUUUAUGGCUGGUGCACUUGUGGACGGCACAGGCCAACAUCAGUUCGGCAUGAAACAUAAACUGUAGGAGAAGGUAGUUGCGGCGCCUCGGUGUCGUAAUGUUAUAACUCCUGCUGAGUGUUUCAGGCUGGACUGAGGAGAAGCAGCACGCAUAAUUUCGGAGAGCAACCGCUGAGGCUGCGGGUUUGGAGAAACUGCUGUGUGUCGCUUUAUUGCGUUCACAGUCAGUGCUCUGGGCCGUUAAUUUGUCAACAAACUCUUGCUUUCGGGUAGGAGAAUGRGGGCAGAAAUCAGCAGCUUUAUACGGGGUGUACCCAGACCACGUGCUUGUGAUGUUGGCGAUAAAUGGCUCCAUCCGACCCGUCUUGAAACACGGACCAAGGAGUCUAACAUAUACGCGAGUCUUUGGGUUGAAAGCCCGCAGGCAUAAUGAAAGUAAAGGCACACUCGGUGUGCUGAGGUGAGAAGGGGCCGGCUCCUUGGUGUCAAAGCCAGGGAGACGAGUUCCAGCAUCAUCGACCGAUCCGGAUGGUUCUAUCCUGAAAGAUUUGAGUAAGAGCGUAUCUGUUGGGACCCGAAAGAUGGUGAACUAUGCCUGAACAGGGUGAAGUCUGAGGAAACUCAGAUGGAAGCUCGUAGCGAUUCUGACGUGCAAAUCGAUCGUCUGAUUUGGGUAUAGGGGCGAAAGACUAAUCGAACUAUCUAGUAGCUGGUUCCCUCCGAAGUUUCCCUCAGGAUAGCUGGAACUAACAGACUCGAAGCAGUUUUAUCAGGUAAAGCGAAUGAUUAGAGGCCUUGGGGUUGAAAUAACCUCAACCUAUUCUCAAACUUUAAAUAGGUAAGAAGCCUGGCUUGCUUAAUUGAAGCCAGGCAAACUGAAUGCAAGUUCCAAGUGGGCCAUUUUUGGUAAGCAGAACUGGCGAUGCGGGAUGAACCGAACGCAAAGUUAAAGUGCCAAAGUUCACGCUCACCUAGAACCCAGAAAAGGUGUUGGCUGAUGAAGACAGCAGGACGGUGGCCAUGGAAGUCGGAACCCGCUAAGGAGUGUGUAACAACUCACCUGCCGAAUCAGCCAGCCCUGAAAAUGGAUGGCGCUCAAGCGUGACACUUAUACUUUGCCGUUGCCUUUUAUAUUUUUCAUACGAAAAAAAAUCGCAACGAGUAGGAGGGCGUGGAGGUCGUGACGCAGCUUAGGGCGUGAGCCUGAGUGAAACGGCC